Molecule: long non-coding RNA, 300 nt
Filed under: Androctonus crassicauda
Lineage: Eukaryota; Metazoa; Arthropoda; Arachnida; Scorpiones; Buthidae
Source: RNAcentral
GGGCCGCGUCUUUUUGUCAUUCUGGUGUGUUUGUGCUUUGGGGCCUUGCUCGGGAUGCGAUCUGUGCUUUGAUGGUGGGUAACAGUGGCAUGGAUGUGUGGGUCAUCCGGUUGAGCGUGUUGUGGCCGGAGGUUGGGUCUUUCUGCAUUCUUUGUUGCUUUCCGCCACACGCCUUCCAUUGUCUUGGUGCUAUGCCCGUGUUUGCGGCCAUGAGUAUAAAUGUAUUCCCGUUCGAUGGUUUUGUCUUUCCAUCUUGUGAUGUGGGUGAGGAUUCUGUUGAAGAGCGCUUUAAAGGCAGCC